GGUCGGCGGCGGCGCCGCGCCUGGCUGUCCCCGCUCUGCCGGCCCUCCGCCUGGCUCGCCUCCAGCCGCGGGACCCGCGCGAAGCGGUACCCGGGCCAUGCAGUCCUCAGCCAUGGACCUGCGGAUGCUGGCCCGGGAGCUCUCCCUUUACCUGGAGCACCAAGUCCGGGUUGGGUUCUUCGGCUCGGGGGUGGGCUUGUCCCUGAUCCUGGGCUUCAGCGUCGCGUACGCCUGCUACUACCUGAGCAGCAUCACCAAGAAACCCCAGUUAGUGACCGGGGCUGAGAGUUUCAGCCGCUUCCUCCGGGACCCCUGGCCGGUGAUGACAGAAACGUACUACCCGACGGUCUGGUGCUGGGAGAGCCGAGGACAGACACUGCUGAGACCUUUCAUCACUUCCAAGCCCCUCGUGCAGUACAGGAAUGAACUUAUUAAAACGGCAGAUGGAGGACAGAUUUCUCUGGACUGGUUUGAUAAUGAUAACAGUCCAUGUUACAUGGAUGCCAGCGCCAGACCUACUAUUUUAUUGUUGCCUGGCCUCACUGGAACAAGCAAGGAAUCUUAUAUCCUUCAUAUGAUCCAUCUCAGUGAAGAAUUAGGAUCAGAUGUGUUGUUUUUAACAGCAGAGGAGUGGCAGGAGAAAAUCUCUUGACGCCAAGGACUUACUGUUGUGCUAACACUGAAGACUUGGAGACAGUUAUUCACCACGUACACAGCCUGUACCUUUCUGCUCCUUUUCUGGCAGCAGGGAUUUCAAUGGGAGGGCACCGGCAUAUGUUUGUAAAACAAAUUGGUAUGGAUCAUGUCAUGAAGGCUAAAUCCAUCAGAGAGUUUGAUAAGGGAUUCACUUCUGUCAUGUUUGGAUACCCAACCGUUGACGAUUAUUACACUGACGCCAGUCCAAAUCAUAGACUGAAGUCAGUAGCAAUUCCAGUGUUGUGUCUAAAUUCUGUGGAUGAUGUUUUCUCACCUAGUCAUGCUAUUCCAAUAGAAACUGCUAAGCAAAACCCUAAUGUUGCUUUGGUCCUUACUUCUCAUGGAGACCAUAUUGGUUUUCUGGAGGGAAUUUGGCCACGGCAAUCCACUUACAUGGAUCAAGUCUUCAAGCAGUUUGUGCAAGCCAUGGUUGAGCAUGGACAUGAACUCUCUAACAUGUAGUUCUUUGGGUGCAUUUUGUGUGAACCACCAUUGUAAAGGCAGCUCAGCUUAGUGCACAAAUUUUAAUAUGUAUAUAAAGCAAAUAAGCCAGCAGAUGGGUGAAGAGGUCCAGAAUGAUAUGCAAAAACUACUUUUUAGGGAAACAAUUUUGUAGCAAGACAUUAAAUAUAAUAUUAGAUUGUUACUUAUGUAGAUUUUAUUUUUACUAUG
RNA transcript from Nycticebus coucang (slow loris), 1368 nucleotides. It is a transcript of the gene named phospholipase ABHD3-like, with no coding region annotated. The record is from RefSeq and is a predicted model, not a curated record. The transcript has a single exon. NCBI's taxonomy places the organism in Eukaryota, Metazoa, Chordata, Mammalia, Primates, Lorisidae.